GACGAACGCUGGCGGCGUGCUUAACACAUGCAAGUCGAACGGAAAGUCCCUGCUUUUGUGGGGUGCUCGAGUGGCGAACGGGUGAGUAACACGUGAGUAACCUGCCCUUGACUUUGGGAUAACUUCAGGAAACUGGGGCUAAUACCGGCUAGGAGCUCCUGCUGCAUGGUGGGGGUUGGAAAGUUUCGGCGGUUGGGGAUGGACUCGCGGCUUAUCAGCUUGUUGGUGGGGUAGUGGCUUACCAAGGCUUUGACGGGUAGCCGGCCUGAGCGGGUGACCGGCCACAUUGGGACUGAGAUACGGCACAGACUCCUACGGGAGGCAGCAGUGGGGAAUAGUGCACAAUGGGCGGAAGCCUGAUGCAGCAACGCCGCGUGCGGGAUGACGGCCUUCGGGUUGUAAAGCGCUUUCGCCUGUGACGAGGCGUGAGUGACGGUAAUGGGUAAAGAAGCACCGGCUAACUACGUG
Molecule: ribosomal RNA, 468 nt
Filed under: uncultured bacterium
Lineage: Bacteria
Description: partial 16S ribosomal RNA
Rfam family: Bacterial small subunit ribosomal RNA
Source: RNAcentral